GUUGGUAGCUCAAUGGUAGAGUGCAUGUUCUGUGUGUACGACGUCCUGGGUUCAAUCCCCAGCAUCU
This 67-nucleotide transfer RNA is filed under the name Dallia pectoralis (Alaska blackfish). RNAcentral describes it as "tRNA-Thr". Lineage: Eukaryota; Metazoa; Chordata; Actinopteri; Esociformes; Umbridae. The record is from RNAcentral.